GUCUUCACUUCAGCAGCACAUAUACUAAAAACAUGAAGGAUACAGAGAAGAUUAGCACAUCCCCUCUGCAAGAAAAACAUGCAAAUUCAUGGAGCAUUCCAUAUUUUU
This is a small nuclear RNA of Octodon degus (degu), 108 nucleotides long. Lineage: Eukaryota; Metazoa; Chordata; Mammalia; Rodentia; Octodontidae. The record is from Ensembl.